UUCAUAUUCAUAUGUACAUGUAUGGUGGUAUGGUGGCUCAUUAACAGUCAGUAAAUGUGGAUUUCCAUACUUACCUCGCUAGGGAUUUUACAGAUAAGUUUAUAUGAGAUAAUUACCCUUGCAUAUCGCCUAAGAAAACGGUAAGGAAUUGGGAUAUUGAGCUCAAAAUCCAAAGCUUUGAGCAUAUUUCUCUCCAUGGCAACAAAUGAAGAAUGCUGAUAUGCAUCAUCACAAAUGUACAGGAAGUCAUCAAGGCAAGGACACUUCAUCAGGAAGUUGUCAAGAAUCUUCACUCCAACAUAGAGCGUUUCAUGAUAYAAUUCAAAACUCUCCUGCACUUCAACCAACCAGUCUACUAAAAUAGCUCUCAUGCUUAUUGAUAGUUCUUUCUGAGAGUCCAUAUAUGAUUUCAAGGGAAAUAGCU
Molecule: long non-coding RNA, 424 nt
Organism: Exaiptasia diaphana
Lineage: Eukaryota; Metazoa; Cnidaria; Anthozoa; Actiniaria; Aiptasiidae
Exons: 3
Source: RefSeq, a predicted model, not a curated record